CGCAAACAAAGGGUUAAGUUUUUGCAAGACGGGGCUCGACCCGCCCCGUGCCAUUGACAUCCUCGUAAAUGGGAGACGUCGUUGAUAGGUAAAGCCAGCAAGGGGCCUAUAAAAAAGACGAGAAGAGAAGAGAAUUUGUAAGUUCUGAGUUCUGAAAUCUGAACUGUCAGUCCUUCAUCAAUGGCUGCCAAGCAAAACCAAGAAAACCUCCCUGUUGUCCUUGUCUAUCGUCGCCCGCAAUUCAACCUUCCACACAGAAACCGCCUAUCUCCUCACUUCCUCCUCCUCGACCCGGCUGAUUCACAAGAAUCCACUAGCUCUUUCCUGUCCACCUAUGCUCAAUCAGUUAGAGCCCUCCUCUGCGUGGGCUAUUCCCCCAUAACCUCUGAAACUCUCAGUCUCCUCCCUUCUUUGGAGCUCAUAGUAGCGUGUAGUGCUGGCGUUGACCACAUCGACCUGCAGGAGUGUCAUCGCCGUGGUAUUGCCAUAACCAACGCCAGUGUGGCAUUCGCGGAGGAUGUCGCUGACCUAGCGGUGGGGUUGUUGAUUGAUGUUUUACGCAAAAUAUCAGGAGCUGACAGAUUUGUUCGUGGUGGGUUGUGGCCUGUGAUGGGGGAUUAUCCCCUUGGUUCCAAGUUAGGAGGGAAACGAGUUGGGAUAGUUGGGUUUGGAAGUAUCGGUUCUAAAGUUGCAAAAAGGCUUGUGGCUUUUGAUUGCAGCAUUGCCUACAAUUCAAGGAGGAGGAAGCCAUCUGUUCCAUUCCCUUACUAUGCCAAUGUUCGCGGCCUUGCUGCAGAUAGUGACAUUCUCAUUCUUUGUUGCGCAUUAACAGAAGAAACACACCAUAUGAUUAAUGAAGGAGUGAUGACAAGCUUGGGAAAAGAAGGGGUGAUCAUUAAUGUUGGACGUGGGUCUCUGAUUGAUGAGAAGGAACUAGUGCAGUUUUUGGUGCAAGGAAAGAUUGGUGGGGCAGGUCUUGAUGUGUUUGAGAAUGAGCCUGAUGUGCCAAAGGAGCUGUUUUCUCUGGAUAAUGUUGUGUUAUCUCCACACCGUGCCGUCUUCACUCCAGAAUCCUUGGAGGCAUUGAUAGAUCUAACUUCUGCCAACCUGAAGGCGUUCUUUUCAAAUAAACCUCUAAAGUCGCUUGUUGAAAUUGAGUUAUAACUUUCCCCUCUCCCACUAAGUUAAUCAAAAUUGAACUGUUUCUAAAAUUUACUCCGGUAAUGAAGCAUUCAGAUUUUGAAAUCAAAAAAAAAAAAAAA
This 1262-nucleotide unclassified non-coding RNA is filed under the name Hevea brasiliensis (rubber tree). The record is from RNAcentral. Lineage: Eukaryota; Viridiplantae; Streptophyta; Magnoliopsida; Malpighiales; Euphorbiaceae.